CUGGCGGCGUGCCUAAUACAUGCAAGUCGAACGGUCUUUCUAUGGAAGCUUGCUUCCACUGAGAAGAUAGUGGCGAACGGGUGAGUAACACGUGGGUAACCUGCCCAUAAGAGGGGGGAUAACAUCCGGAAACGGGUGCUAAUACCGCAUAGUUUUCUUGAUCGCAUGAUUGAGAAAGGAAAGACGGCCUUUGUGCUGUCGCUUAUGGAUGGACCCGCGGCGUAUUAGUUAGUUGGUGAGGUAACGGCUCACCAAGACGAUGAUACGUAGCCGACCUGAGAGGGUGAUCGGCCACAUUGGGACUGAGACACGGCCCAAACUCCUACGGGAGGCAGCAGUAGGGAAUCUUCCGCAAUGGACGAAAGUCUGACGGAGCAACGCCGCGUGAGUGAAAGAAGGUUUUCGGAUCGUAAAACUCUGUUGUCAGAGAAGAACAAGUUGGAGAGUAACUGCUCCAGCCUUGACGGUAUCUGACCAGAAAGCCACGGCUAACUACGUGCCAGCCGCGGC
Molecule: ribosomal RNA, 510 nt
Filed under: uncultured bacterium
Lineage: Bacteria
Description: bacterial SSU rRNA
Rfam family: Bacterial small subunit ribosomal RNA
Source: RNAcentral